This 796-nucleotide ribosomal RNA is filed under the name Salmonella enterica. RNAcentral's name for it is "partial 23S ribosomal RNA". It matches the Rfam family "Bacterial large subunit ribosomal RNA", at positions 395 to 1190 of the family's 2925-position model. Lineage: Bacteria; Pseudomonadati; Pseudomonadota; Gammaproteobacteria; Enterobacterales; Enterobacteriaceae. RNAcentral also lists the same sequence under 1 other name. The record is from RNAcentral.
UGCUGUGAGCUCGAUGAGUAGGGCGGGACACGUGGUAUCCUGUCUGAAUAUGGGGGGACCAUCCUCCAAGGCUAAAUACUCCUGACUGACCGAUAGUGAACCAGUACCGUGAGGGAAAGGCGAAAAGAACCCCGGCGAGGGGAGUGAAAAAGAACCUGAAACCGUGUACGUACAAGCAGUGGGAGCACAGGUUUACCUGUGUGACUGCGUACCUUUUGUAUAAUGGGUCAGCGACUUAUAUUCUGUAGCAAGGUUAACCGAAUAGGGGAGCCGGAGGGAAACCGAGUCUUAAUUGGGCGUUAAGUUGCAGGGUAUAGACCCGAAACCCGGUGAUCUAGCCAUGGGCAGGUUGAAGGUUGGGUAACACUAACUGGAGGACCGAACCGACUAAUGUUGAAAAAUUAGCGGAUGACCUGUGGCUGGGGGUGAAAGGCCAAUCAAACCGGGAGAUAGCUGGUUCUCCCCGAAAGCUAUUUAGGUAGCGCCUCGUGAAUUCAUCUCCGGGGGUAGAGCACUGUUUCGGCUAGGGGGCCAUCCCGGCUUACCAACCCGAUGCAAACUGCGAAUACCGGAGAAUGUUAUCACGGGAGACACACGGCGGGUGCUAACGUCCGUCGUGAAGAGGGAAACAACCCAGACCGCCAGCUAAGGUCCCAAAGUCAUGGUUAAGUGGGAAACGAUGUGGGAAGGCCCAGACAGCCAGGAUGUUGGCUUAGAAGCAGCCAUCAUUUAAAGAAAGCGUAAUAGCUCACUGGUCGAGUCGGCCUGCGCGGAAGAUGUAACGGGGCUAAACCAU